UACAAACAGACCGUGAACAUGUCAUCCAUCCCGCACGUGGUUCUACCCGUGCAAGGCCCCCGACCUUUCCGAAGGAGAGGGGCCGCAAAAGAACCCACGGCGCCGAAGGCGUCAAGGAAAACUGAUAUUGCCUUGCUCGGGGCUGUGCUCGGCUUGCCGAGCACACCUCGUGCAGCGAUGCUAUCUUAAUCCACACGACUCUCGGCAACGGAUAUCUCGGCUCUCGCAUCGAUGAAGAACGUAGCAAAAUGCGAUACCUGGUGUGAAUUGCAGAAUCCCGCGAACCAUCGAGUUUUUGAACGCAAGUUGCGCCCGAGGCCUUCUGGUUGAGGGCACGCCUGCCUGGGCGUCACGCCAAAAGACACUCCCAACCCAAACCUGGGGAAGGACGUGGUGUUUGGCUCCCCGUGCUGCAAGGCGCGGUGGGCCGAAGUUUGGGCUGCCGGCAUAACUUGUCGGGCACCGCACGUGGUGGGCGACAUCUAGUUGUUCUCGGUGCAGUGUCCUGGCAUGCAGCUGGCUUAUUGGCCUCAAGGACCCAUACACGACCGAAGCGUUUAGGCGCUCGGACCGCGACCCCAGGUCAGACGGGACUACCCGCUGAGUUUAAGCAUAUCAAAAGCGGGAGGAAA
Molecule: ribosomal RNA, 632 nt
Filed under: Setaria italica (foxtail millet)
Lineage: Eukaryota; Viridiplantae; Streptophyta; Magnoliopsida; Poales; Poaceae
Description: eukaryotic LSU rRNA
Rfam family: 5.8S ribosomal RNA (bases 197-352)
Source: RNAcentral